GAUGAAGAACGUAGCAAAAUGCGAUAAGUAAUGUGAAUUGCAGAAUUCAGUGAAUCAUCGAAUCUUUGAACGCACAUUGCGCCAGCUGGUAUUCCGGCGGGCAUGCCUGUUCGAGCGUCAUUUCAACCCUCAAGCCCCCGGGUUUGGUGUUGGGGAUCGGCUCUGCCCUUCUGGGCGGUGCCGCCCCCGAAAUACAUUGGCGGUCUCGCUGCAGCCUCCAUUGCGUAGUAGCUAACACCUCGCAACUGGAACGCGGCGCGGCCAUGCCGUAAAACCCCAACUUCUGAAUGUUGACCUCGGAUCAGGUAGGAAUACCCGCUGAACUUAAGCAUAUCAAUAAGCGGAGGA
RNAcentral lists this unclassified non-coding RNA (348 nucleotides) under soil metagenome. RNAcentral's name for it is "partial contains 5.8S ribosomal RNA, internal transcribed spacer 2, and large subunit ribosomal RNA". The stretch from base 1 to 120 matches the Rfam family "5.8S ribosomal RNA", at positions 35 to 154 of the family's 154-position model. The record is from RNAcentral.